Molecule: ribosomal RNA, 269 nt
Filed under: uncultured prokaryote
Description: partial 16S ribosomal RNA
Rfam family: Bacterial small subunit ribosomal RNA
Source: RNAcentral
UACGUAUGGGGCAAGCGUUGUUCGGAUUCACUGGGCGUAAAGGGCGUGUAGGUGGCGUGGUAAGUCGGAUGUGAAAUCUCUAGGCUUAACCUGGAAAGUGCAUUCGAUACUACCAUGCUUGAGUACCGGAGAGGGAGACGGAAUUCCUGGUGUAGGGGUGAAAUCUGUAGAUAUCAGGAAGAACACCGGUGGCGAAGGCGGUCUCCUGGCCGGAUACUGACACUGAGGCGCGAAAGCUAGGGGAGCAAACAGGAUUAGAUACCCGCGUA